This 468-nucleotide ribosomal RNA is filed under the name uncultured bacterium. RNAcentral describes it as "partial 16S ribosomal RNA". It matches the Rfam family "Bacterial small subunit ribosomal RNA", at positions 28 to 507 of the family's 1533-position model. The record is from RNAcentral.
GACGAACGCUGGCGGCGUGCUUAACACAUGCAAGUCGAACGGAAAGGCCCUGCUUUUGUGGGGUGCUCGAGUGGCGAACGGGUGAGUAACACGUGAGUAACCUGCCCUUGACUUUGGGAUAACUUCAGGAAACUGGGGCUAAUACCGGAUAGGUGCUCCUGCUGCAUGGUGGGGGUUGGAAAGUUUCGGCGGUUGGGGAUGGACUCGCGGCUUAUCAGCUUGUUGGUGGGGUAGUGGCUUACCAAGGCUUUGACGGGUAGCCGGCCUGAGAGGGUGACCGGCCACAUUGGGACUGAGAUACGGCCGAGACUCCUACGGGAGGCAGAAGUGGGGAAUAUUGCGCAAUGGGCGGAAGCCUGAUGCAGCAACGCCGCGUGCGGGAUGACGGCCUUCGGGUUGUAAACCGCUUUCGCCUGUGACGAAGUGUGAGUGACGGUAAUGGGUAAAGAAGCACCGGCUAACUACGUG